AAAGUGUGAAAAAUUGGAAUCCUACUACCUUCCUCAUACAGGAUGACUGUGAGGUGAGAACAGAUGUGACAGUGUUUGGGUCAUGGAAGGCACUCACCAAAUACUCCUCUCCCUUCUUUUCUCCUUCCAACUCUAGAUUUAUAUAAUUCCACGAAUUCCAUUCAACCUGACCCUUGAAAAUAUAAGAUCCUACAAGGAAGAGUUAAGAGACAAAGGAUAAAAUACAGGAGACUAAAGGAGAUGACGCCUGGUGGGUGCUCACUGAUGGUAGAUCACCCUUAAAUCGGAGGGCAGGUGCAGAGUUGAAGACCCAAUGAUGCAGGAAGCAGAGGGAAGGGAGAGGCUGGAGAGAAGAAAAAGAGCCAGAGAUCUCCUGCAAGCUCCAGAAAGCCCACCACUAAAAAUAAUCACAGCAAACCCCAUAACUCUGGAAGUUGCCAGGCUGGUCCCGGGUGCCUGGGCUCAAGUGAUCCUCUCACCUCGGCCUCCCAAAGUGCUGGGAUUACAGGCGUGAGCAAUCUCGCCCAGCCUCAACAUGGGCAUCUUGUUUGCUGGCAUACGACGUAAUCUUCAUAAUAUCUACAGCAGUGCUUCUCAACGCUCUUUUCCUUAUCAUCCCCCACCCCAUCUUUUCAGACAUUUUUUAUUAACCACUCCCCCUCCAUUAAAAUGUAACACCACAAAUAUACUGUAUAACUGUUUAAGUCUUCUAUGAUGUAUGUCUGUGCUUUAUGCAUGAAAAGGGUAUUUUUUUUUUCGUGCUCCCCCUGAAGAACUCUUUUGCCCCCUUGGGGGCGAUAUCACCACUGUUGAGAAUGCACGAUCGACACUAUUUCUGAUGUUUCACCGAUUGUCUUUGGAAUGUAACUCAAGACCUUACUGCCUGUCAUCUUGUUAAAAUUGUUGCAUAAACUUUUGGAAUAUAAAUGUGUAUUUUCCCACAUAAAUGUGUUAAGAUACCUAUAAA
Long non-coding RNA from Symphalangus syndactylus (siamang), 967 nucleotides. RefSeq lists it as uncharacterized. The record is from RefSeq and is a predicted model, not a curated record. Lineage: Eukaryota; Metazoa; Chordata; Mammalia; Primates; Hylobatidae.